AACUUGAGGAUUUAUUUCAUAAAAUAGCUGCAAAAAUGUAUAUAUAAAUAUUUUAUUUACCACAUAUUCCAAGUGAAAACUAGGAAGGAUUCGAAAAAUUAUUCA
RNAcentral lists this small RNA (105 nucleotides) under Arabidopsis thaliana (thale cress). RNAcentral's name for it is "ATSL261080". The record is from RNAcentral. Lineage: Eukaryota; Viridiplantae; Streptophyta; Magnoliopsida; Brassicales; Brassicaceae.